CUGUAUACCGCCGUCGUCAGCCCACCUCCCAAGAGAACGGAGCUAAACAACCCCCCCAUAAAAACGACAGGUCAAGGUGCAGCUUAUGAGGUGGCACGCAUGGGCUACAAUGCCACAUUCAUGGCCAAACGAAACUCGAGCUGAACUUCACCCAUUUAACCUCGAACUAAGCAGGAUUUAGUAGUAAGAUCAAUAAGAACAUUGAUCUGAAUCUAUGCGCUGGGGUACGCACAAACCGCCCGUCACCCCCAUUUUCAGCAAAUACACCUGAAGACGGGGCAAGUCGUAACACGGUAAGCGCACCGGAAGGUGUGCUUGGAGCAAAAAGUAGCUUACUCUAAAGCACCCGUUUUACAAUCGGAAGACGCCAAACACCGCAGCCUUUUUGAGCCUACCUUAAGCCCAUCCAAACCCACAAACCAACCAUUAAAAUAACCCAAAACAUUAUACUAAGACUAGAGAAAGUACUGUAAAGGAAAACACCACAUACAACACCAGCACAUUACAGCAGGGAUUAACCCACGUACCUUUUGCAUCACCGUCUAGCAAGAACACAGCAGACAAGAAGAAUCCAAGCCUGCCCCCCCGAAUGCAAGUGAGCUAUUUCCAAAGCAGCCACCACAAAAUAUAACGUUACAGGAACAACCAAAAAAUUCAAAAAACCACAACAACUUCCUACUUCCACCCCAGGCUACUCUAUUCAAAAAUAGAAGAAACGAUGCUAGAAUUAGUAACAAGAGACACUCUCUAAAAACAAAACCUCAAACCACAUCAUCAAGACCAACAAGUCUAAAUGAAUAUACCACACCGACCCAGUACAACUGAUUAAAGAACCAAGCUACUCCAGGGAUAACAGCGCCACAUUCUUGAAGAGUCCAUAUCAACAAGAAUACCUACGACCUCGAUGUUGGAUCAGGAUAACCUGAUGGUGCAGAAGCUAUCAAGGGUUCGUUU
Molecule: long non-coding RNA, 954 nt
Filed under: Pogona vitticeps (central bearded dragon)
Lineage: Eukaryota; Metazoa; Chordata; Lepidosauria; Squamata; Agamidae
Description: lncRNA (ENSPVIG00000001150.1)
Rfam family: Bacterial small subunit ribosomal RNA (bases 1-331)
Source: RNAcentral